GACGAACGCUGGCGACGUGCUUAACACAUGCAAGUCGAACGGAAAGGCCCUGCUUUUGUGGGGUGCUCGAGUGGCGAACGGGUGAGUAACACGUGAGUAACCUGCCCUUGACUUUGGGAUAACUUCAGGAAACUGGGGCUAAUACCGGAUAGGAGCUCCUGCUGCAUGGUGGGGGUUGGAAAGUUUCGGCGGUUGGGGAUGGACUCGCGGCCUAUCAGCUUGUUGGUGGGGUAGUGGCUUACCAAGGCUUUGACGGGUAGCCGGCCUGAGAGGGUGACCGGCCACAUUGGGACUGAGAUACGGCCCAGACUCCUACGGGAGGCAGCAGUGGGGAAUAUUGCACAAUGGGCGGAAGCCUGAUGCAGCAACGCCGCGUGCGGGAUGACGGCCUUCGGGUUGUAAACCGCUUUCGCCUGUGACGAAGCGUGAGUGACGGUAAUGGGUAAAGAAGCACCGGCUAACUACGUG
RNAcentral lists this ribosomal RNA (468 nucleotides) under uncultured bacterium. RNAcentral's name for it is "partial 16S ribosomal RNA". It matches the Rfam family "Bacterial small subunit ribosomal RNA", at positions 28 to 507 of the family's 1533-position model. The record is from RNAcentral.